GAUUCAGGUUGCUAGCCAAGCAUUCAUAGCGACGUUGCUUUUUGAUCCUUCGAUSUCGGCUCUUCCUAUCAUACCGAAGCAGAAUUCGGUAAGCGUUGGAUUGUUCACCCACUAAAUAGGGAACGUGAGCUUCCAUGCAUUUAAAGCAGGGUAGGUAGAUU
This is a ribosomal RNA of Aspergillus viridinutans, 161 nucleotides long. Lineage: Eukaryota; Fungi; Ascomycota; Eurotiomycetes; Eurotiales; Aspergillaceae. The record is from RefSeq and is a predicted model, not a curated record.